UAAUACAGAGGGGGCAAGCGUUAUUCGGAAUUACUGGGCGUAAAGGGCGCGUAGGCGGUUGUUUAAGUCAGAUGUGUAAUCCCCGGGCUCAACCUGGGAACUGCAUCUGAGACUGGAGAGCUAGAGUGCUGGAGAGGGUGGUAGAAUUCCACGUGUAGCGGUGAAAUGCGUAGAGAUGUGGAGGAAUACCAGUGGCGAAGGCGGCCACCUGGACAGCAACUGACGCUGAGGCGCGAAAGUGUGGGUAGCAAACAGG
Molecule: ribosomal RNA, 256 nt
Filed under: uncultured bacterium
Lineage: Bacteria
Description: partial 16S ribosomal RNA
Rfam family: Bacterial small subunit ribosomal RNA
Source: RNAcentral